Molecule: ribosomal RNA, 2931 nt
Filed under: Escherichia coli
Lineage: Bacteria; Pseudomonadati; Pseudomonadota; Gammaproteobacteria; Enterobacterales; Enterobacteriaceae
Description: 23S ribosomal RNA
Rfam family: Bacterial large subunit ribosomal RNA
Source: RNAcentral
GGGUUGUGAGGUUAAGCGACUAAGCGUACACGGUGGAUGCCCUGGCAGUCAGAGGCGAUGAAGGACGUGCUAAUCUGCGAUAAGCGUCGGUAAGGUGAUAUGAACCGUUAUAACCGGCGAUUUCCGAAUGGGGAAACCCAGUGUGAUUCGUCACACUAUCAUUAACUGAAUCCAUAGGUUAAUGAGGCGAACCGGGGGAACUGAAACAUCUAAGUACCCCGAGGAAAAGAAAUCAACCGAGAUUCCCCCAGUAGCGGCGAGCGAACGGGGAGGAGCCCAGAGCCUGAAUCAGUGUGUGUGUUAGUGGAAGCGUCUGGAAAGGCGCGCGAUACAGGGUGACAGCCCCGUACACAAAAAUGCACAUGCUGUGAGCUCGAUGAGUAGGGCGGGACACGUGGUAUCCUGUCUGAAUAUGGGGGGACCAUCCUCCAAGGCUAAAUACUCCUGACUGACCGAUAGUGAACCAGUACCGUGAGGGAAAGGCGAAAAGAACCCCGGCGAGGGGAGUGAAAAAGAACCUGAAACCGUGUACGUACAAGCAGUGGGAGCACGCUUAGGCGUGUGACUGCGUACCUUUUGUAUAAUGGGUCAGCGACUUAUAUUCUGUAGCAAGGUUAACCGAAUAGGGGAGCCGAAGGGAAACCGAGUCUUAACUGGGCGUUAAGUUGCAGGGUAUAGACCCGAAACCCGGUGAUCUAGCCAUGGGCAGGUUGAAGGUUGGGUAACACUAACUGGAGGACCGAACCGACUAAUGUUGAAAAAUUAGCGGAUGACUUGUGGCUGGGGGUGAAAGGCCAAUCAAACCGGGAGAUAGCUGGUUCUCCCCGAAAGCUAUUUAGGUAGCGCCUCGUGAAUUCAUCUCCGGGGGUAGAGCACUGUUUCGGCAAGGGGGUCAUCCCGACUUACCAACCCGAUGCAAACUGCGAAUACCGGAGAAUGUUAUCACGGGAGACACACGGCGGGUGCUAACGUCCGUCGUGAAGAGGGAAACAACCCAGACCGCCAGCUAAGGUCCCAAAGUCAUGGUUAAGUGGGAAACGAUGUGGGAAGGCCCAGACAGCCAGGAUGUUGGCUUAGAAGCAGCCAUCAUUUAAAGAAAGCGUAAUAGCUCACUGGUCGAGUCGGCCUGCGCGGAAGAUGUAACGGGGCUAAACCAUGCACCGAAGCUGCGGCAGCGACGCUUAUGCGUUGUUGGGUAGGGGAGCGUUCUGUAAGCCUGUGAAGGUGUGCUGUGAGGCAUGCUGGAGGUAUCAGAAGUGCGAAUGCUGACAUAAGUAACGAUAAAGCGGGUGAAAAGCCCGCUCGCCGGAAGACCAAGGGUUCCUGUCCAACGUUAAUCGGGGCAGGGUGAGUCGACCCCUAAGGCGAGGCCGAAAGGCGUAGUCGAUGGGAAACAGGUUAAUAUUCCUGUACUUGGUGUUACUGCGAAGGGGGGACGGAGAAGGCUAUGUUGGCCGGGCGACGGUUGUCCCGGUUUAAGCGUGUAGGCUGGUUUUCCAGGCAAAUCCGGAAAAUCAAGGCUGAGGCGUGAUGACGAGGCACUACGGUGCUGAAGCAACAAAUGCCCUGCUUCCAGGAAAAGCCUCUAAGCAUCAGGUAACAUCAAAUCGUACCCCAAACCGACACAGGUGGUCAGGUAGAGAAUACCAAGGCGCUUGAGAGAACUCGGGUGAAGGAACUAGGCAAAAUGGUGCCGUAACUUCGGGAGAAGGCACGCUGAUAUGUAGGUGAAGUCCCUCGCGGAUGGAGCUGAAAUCAGUCGAAGAUACCAGCUGGCUGCAACUGUUUAUUAAAAACACAGCACUGUGCAAACACGAAAGUGGACGUAUACGGUGUGACGCCUGCCCGGUGCCGGAAGGUUAAUUGAUGGGGUUAGCGCAAGCGAAGCUCUUGAUCGAAGCCCCGGUAAACGGCGGCCGUAACUAUAACGGUCCUAAGGUAGCGAAAUUCCUUGUCGGGUAAGUUCCGACCUGCACGAAUGGCGUAAUGAUGGCCAGGCUGUCUCCACCCGAGACUCAGUGAAAUUGAACUCGCUGUGAAGAUGCAGUGUACCCGCGGCAAGACGGAAAGACCCCGUGAACCUUUACUAUAGCUUGACACUGAACAUUGAGCCUUGAUGUGUAGGAUAGGUGGGAGGCUUUGAAGUGUGGACGCCAGUCUGCAUGGAGCCGACCUUGAAAUACCACCCUUUAAUGUUUGAUGUUCUAACGUUGACCCGUAAUCCGGGUUGCGGACAGUGUCUGGUGGGUAGUUUGACUGGGGCGGUCUCCUCCUAAAGAGUAACGGAGGAGCACGAAGGUUGGCUAAUCCUGGUCGGACAUCAGGAGGUUAGUGCAAUGGCAUAAGCCAGCUUGACUGCGAGCGUGACGGCGCGAGCAGGUGCGAAAGCAGGUCAUAGUGAUCCGGUGGUUCUGAAUGGAAGGGCCAUCGCUCAACGGAUAAAAGGUACUCCGGGGAUAACAGGCUGAUACCGCCCAAGAGUUCAUAUCGACGGCGGUGUUUGGCACCUCGAUGUCGGCUCAUCACAUCCUGGGGCUGAAGUAGGUCCCAAGGGUAUGGCUGUUCGCCAUUUAAAGUGGUACGCGAGCUGGGUUUAGAACGUCGUGAGACAGUUCGGUCCCUAUCUGCCGUGGGCGCUGGAGAACUGAGGGGGGCUGCUCCUAGUACGAGAGGACCGGAGUGGACGCAUCACUGGUGUUCGGGUUGUCAUGCCAAUGGCACUGCCCGGUAGCUAAAUGCGGAAGAGAUAAGUGCUGAAAGCAUCUAAGCACGAAACUUGCCCCGAGAUGAGUUCUCCCUGACUCCUUGAGAGUCCUGAAGGAACGUUGAAGACGACGACGUUGAUAGGCCGGGUGUGUAAGCGCAGCGAUGCGUUGAGCUAACCGGUACUAAUGAACCGUGAGGCUUAACCUUACAACGCCGAAGGUGUUU